AGUGAACGCUGGCGGUAGGCUCACACAUGCAAGUCGAACGGCAGCACCGUAAGAGCUUGCUCUUACGGGUGGCGAGUGGCGGACGGGUGAGGAAUACAUCGGAAUCUACUUUUUCGUGGGGGAUAACGUAGGGAAACUUACGCUAAUACCGCAUACGACCUACGGGUGAAAGCAGGGGAUCUUCGGACCUUGCGCGAUUGAAUGAGCCGAUGUCGGAUUAGCUAGUUGGCGGGGUAAAGGCCCACCAAGGCGACGAUCCGUAGCUGGUCUGAGAGGAUGAUCAGCCACACUGGAACUGAGACACGGUCCAGACUCCUACGGGAGGCAGCAGUGGGGAAUAUUGGACAAUGGGCGCAAGCCUGAUCCAGCCAUACCGCGUGGGUGAAGAAGGCCUUCGGGUUGUAAAGCCCUUUUGUUGGGAAAGAAAAGCAGCAGGUUAAUACCCCGCUGUUCUGACGGUACCCAAAGAAUAAGCACCGGCUAACUUCGUG
Molecule: ribosomal RNA, 491 nt
Filed under: uncultured bacterium
Lineage: Bacteria
Description: partial 16S ribosomal RNA
Rfam family: Bacterial small subunit ribosomal RNA
Source: RNAcentral